UUGGUCCUACGGGAGGCAGCAGUGAGGAAUAUUGGUCAAUGGUCGGGAGACUGAACCAGCCACGCCGCGUGAGGGAUGAAGGUACAGAGUAUCGUAAACCUCUUUUGUCAGGGAACAAAGGCGGGGACGCGUCCCCGGAUGAGUGUACCUGAAGAAAAAGCAUCGGCUAACUCCGUGCCAGCAGCCGCGGUAAUAUGGAGGAUGCGAGCGUUAUCCGGAUUUAUUGGGUUUAAAGGGUGCGCAGGCGGUCUGUUAAGUCAGCGGUCAAAGCCCGGGGCUCAACCCCGGCCCUGCGU
This 296-nucleotide ribosomal RNA is filed under the name uncultured bacterium. Its description in RNAcentral is "partial 16S ribosomal RNA". It matches the Rfam family "Bacterial small subunit ribosomal RNA", at positions 333 to 626 of the family's 1533-position model. The record is from RNAcentral.